RNAcentral lists this ribosomal RNA (1504 nucleotides) under Lactiplantibacillus plantarum. RNAcentral's name for it is "bacterial SSU rRNA". It matches the Rfam family "Bacterial small subunit ribosomal RNA". The record is from RNAcentral. Lineage: Bacteria; Bacillati; Bacillota; Bacilli; Lactobacillales; Lactobacillaceae.
CCUCGUCAGACGAACGCUGGCGGCGUGCCUAAUACAUGCAAGUCGAACGAACUCUGGUAUUGAUUGGUGCUUGCAUCAUGAUUUACAUUUGAGUGAGUGGCGAACUGGUGAGUAACACGUGGGAAACCUGCCCAGAAGCGGGGGAUAACACCUGGAAACAGAUGCUAAUACCGCAUAACAACUUGGACCGCAUGGUCCGAGUUUGAAAGAUGGCUUCGGCUAUCACUUUUGGAUGGUCCCGCGGCGUAUUAGCUAGAUGGUGGGGUAACGGCUCACCAUGGCAAUGAUACGUAGCCGACCUGAGAGGGUAAUCGGCCACAUUGGGACUGAGACACGGCCCAAACUCCUACGGGAGGCAGCAGUAGGGAAUCUUCCACAAUGGACGAAAGUCUGAUGGAGCAACGCCGCGUGAGUGAAGAAGGGUUUCGGCUCGUAAAACUCUGUUGUUAAAGAAGAACAUAUCUGAGAGUAACUGUUCAGGUAUUGACGGUAUUUAACCAGAAAGCCACGGCUAACUACGUGCCAGCAGCCGCGGUAAUACGUAGGUGGCAAGCGUUGUCCGGAUUUAUUGGGCGUAAAGCGAGCGCAGGCGGUUUUUUAAGUCUGAUGUGAAAGCCUUCGGCUCAACCGAAGAAGUGCAUCGGAAACUGGGAAACUUGAGUGCAGAAGAGGACAGUGGAACUCCAUGUGUAGCGGUGAAAUGCGUAGAUAUAUGGAAGAACACCAGUGGCGAAGGCGGCUGUCUGGUCUGUAACUGACGCUGAGGCUCGAAAGUAUGGGUAGCAAACAGGAUUAGAUACCCUGGUAGUCCAUACCGUAAACGAUGAAUGCUAAGUGUUGGAGGGUUUCCGCCCUUCAGUGCUGCAGCUAACGCAUUAAGCAUUCCGCCUGGGGAGUACGGCCGCAAGGCUGAAACUCAAAGGAAUUGACGGGGGCCCGCACAAGCGGUGGAGCAUGUGGUUUAAUUCGAAGCUACGCGAAGAACCUUACCAGGUCUUGACAUACUAUGCAAAUCUAAGAGAUUAGACGUUCCCUUCGGGGACAUGGAUACAGGUGGUGCAUGGUUGUCGUCAGCUCGUGUCGUGAGAUGUUGGGUUAAGUCCCGCAACGAGCGCAACCCUUAUUAUCAGUUGCCAGCAUUAAGUUGGGCACUCUGGUGAGACUGCCGGUGACAAACCGGAGGAAGGUGGGGAUGACGUCAAAUCAUCAUGCCCCUUAUGACCUGGGCUACACACGUGCUACAAUGGAUGGUACAACGAGUUGCGAACUCGCGAGAGUAAGCUAAUCUCUUAAAGCCAUUCUCAGUUCGGAUUGUAGGCUGCAACUCGCCUACAUGAAGUCGGAAUCGCUAGUAAUCGCGGAUCAGCAUGCCGCGGUGAAUACGUUCCCGGGCCUUGUACACACCGCCCGUCACACCAUGAGAGUUUGUAACACCCAAAGUCGGUGGGGUAACCUUUUAGGAACCAGCCGCCUAAGGUGGGACAGAUGAUUAGGGUGAAUCUAA